GGAUGUGAGGGCGAUCUGGCUGUGACAUCUGUCACCCCGCUGAUCGCCAGGGUUGAUUCAGCUGAUCUGGCUGGCUAGGUGGGUGUCCCGUCCUCCCCUCACUGCUCCAUGUGCAUCCCUCCCGAAGCUGCGCGCUCGGUCGAAGAGGACGACCAUCCCCACUAGAGGAGGACCAGUCUUUGGUCAAGGGUAUACGAGUAGCUGCGCUCCCCUGCUAGAACCUCCAAACAAGCUCUCAAAAAUUAUGCUCUAAUAUCUUCCCUGUCAUCUGUGCAUCCCAUGAAACGAUGCUUGCUCAAAAAACAUCCAGGACCCCAGGUGUAUUUCCU
Unclassified non-coding RNA from Ochotona princeps (American pika), 329 nucleotides. Its record names the gene 7SK. It matches the Rfam family "7SK RNA". From Rfam's summary of the family: 7SK was discovered as an abundant small nuclear RNA in the mid-70s but a possible function has only recently been suggested. The record is from Ensembl. NCBI's taxonomy places the organism in Eukaryota, Metazoa, Chordata, Mammalia, Lagomorpha, Ochotonidae.